AUGCACAAGUUUUAACAGCCGAAUUGAUCAAGUAGAAGAAAAGAUAUCAGAGAUUGAAGAUCAACUCAAUGAAAUAAAAUGAGAAGGUGAGACUAGAGAAAAAAGAGU
Molecule: long non-coding RNA, 108 nt
Organism: Sapajus apella (tufted capuchin)
Lineage: Eukaryota; Metazoa; Chordata; Mammalia; Primates; Cebidae
Exons: 2
Source: RefSeq, a predicted model, not a curated record